RNAcentral lists this ribosomal RNA (435 nucleotides) under uncultured bacterium. RNAcentral's name for it is "bacterial SSU rRNA". It matches the Rfam family "Bacterial small subunit ribosomal RNA", at positions 29 to 513 of the family's 1533-position model. The record is from RNAcentral.
AACGAACGCUGGCGGCAGGCUUAACACAUGCAAGUCGAACGCCCCGCAAGGGGAGUGGCAGACGGGUGAGUAACGCGUGGGAACGUGCCUUUCGGUUCGGAACAGACCCGGGAAACUGGGAUUAAUACCGGAUACGUCCUUAGGGAGAAAGAUUUAUCGCCGAAAGAUCGGCCCGCGUCUGAUUAGCUAGUUGGCGGGGUAAUGGCCCACCAAGGCGACGAUCAGUAGCUGGUCUGAGAGGAUGAUCAGCCACACUGGGACUGAGACACGGCCCAGACUCCUACGGGAGGCAGCAGUGGGAAUAUUGGACAAUGGGCGCAAGCCUGAUCCAGCCAUGCCGCGUGAGUGAUGAAGGCCUUAGGGUUGUAAANCUCUUUCGACGGGACGAUGAUGACGGUACCCGUAGAAGAAGCCCCGGCUAACUUCGUGCCAGCA